UAAUACGUAGGGUGCGAGCGUUAAUCGGAAUUACUGGGCGUAAAGGGUGCGCAGGCGGCGUCGCAAGUCAGGCGUGAAAUCCCCGGGCUUAACCUGGGAAUGGCACUUGAAACUACGAUGCUGGAGUAUGGCAGAGGGAGGUGGAAUUCCACGUGUAGCGGUGAAAUGCGUAGAGAUGUGGAGGAACACCGAUGGCGAAGGCAGCCUCCUGGGCCAAUACUGACGCUCAUGCACGAAAGCGUGGGGAGCAAACAGGAUUAGAUACCCUGGUAGUCCACGCCCUAAACGAUGUCAACUGGUUGUUGGGUCUUCACUGACUCAGUAACGAAGCUAACGCGUGAAGUUGACCGCCUGGGGAGUACGGCCGCAAGGUUG
RNAcentral lists this ribosomal RNA (375 nucleotides) under uncultured bacterium. RNAcentral's name for it is "bacterial SSU rRNA". It matches the Rfam family "Bacterial small subunit ribosomal RNA", at positions 521 to 896 of the family's 1533-position model. The record is from RNAcentral.